RNAcentral lists this long non-coding RNA (4724 nucleotides) under Pelobates cultripes (western spadefoot toad). The record is from RNAcentral. Lineage: Eukaryota; Metazoa; Chordata; Amphibia; Anura; Pelobatidae.
CAUCAAUUUCUCUCUAUCAAAAUGCAUUACUGCCAGUGUAAAGAACAUAGAAUAUCUAUUUAUUCUGUGACUGCAAAUGUAAGAAAAACAAACUAGGGGAUUCUGGGUAUACACAGUGGAGAGGACUGGGGGCAGGGCAGGAGGGAGAUGCUGUUGCCACAGCCUGGUGUAGCCUUGCAGUGUUGUACAGGUAGGCAAAAUACAUCUAUUUAACUCUAAUAUUGUAAAUUGCCAUCCAAACAUGGACAUCUGGUUUGAUAUCACGUUUUCAUGGCAGGAUAACCUCCACAGACAUAAGCACUACAUUUAAUGAUUGCAUAUUUGUAUCCCCCAUGUUUUUAUUGAAGAGAAACAUUUUACUGUAUCUUGUCACUAUAGAACAUUUCUGUAACAUUAAAUUGCACAUUACAACACAUUUUAGGAUCUAGUUGAAAGGUAAGGAUUGACCUCAAUAUAGUUCUCUCAAAAAUACUUAGUCCAAAAAAAAAAAAAGCAAAAUAAAUUUUUUGCACAAACAAAACUAGAGGCAUAUCCUUGGAAAUCAGGGAUAAUAAAAUUGAAUUCCCUGUUUAUAUUUGGUAUUGCACAUAUAAAGCUCAAUUUUUUUUAUUUUUUUUUUACAAUUUCUGGUAAAGUGCAAACAAGAUGGUGUGGUUGUGAAUUUUCACAUAUUCACUGCAUAAUUGAGAAAUAUUAGGCCAAUUUAGCAAAACUGCAUAUGUUUCUUGUCCCACAUUCUUGUCAAUUAAUCAAAGAUCACCGUUUAGCUAAUAUGCCCCUUAUGUUAUUGCUUCUAUACAACCUCUGCUUAAUGCACUGUCAUGCACAACACACAUUGCUGGCAAGCUCAGCUUCUUGUCGGAGUGCACAUGUUAAAGUAUACUGUAUGUUGCUGAAAAUGCCAGCAACAUAGAUUAAAUGAUACUGAUACACUUGGUACCUAAAGAUUGUUUCUCCUUCAUCCAGCAUAGACCCAGCAGCAAACACUAACUAACCUGUCCCUCCCUCAAGAAAUACAGCCAGCAUCAAACGAGGGACCGACGCAGGUGGACAGCAAUUUGUCAUAAAACUUACAAUUGUAGCAGUAAGUAUAAAUAAAGAAAUCUUAAAUGACUAUCUAUCCAUUUUCCUAUAGAUGAAAUUAGUUAUAGGCAUUGCACGUUGAAAAGGAGUGUGUAUACCCAAAACAUCUGUGUUUUAGUCCUUCAUUACAUUUAGCACUAAGAAUUCUGAUUGUGCUUGUCCAAUUUGCUUUAUAGUUGAGAUUUCUAUAUCUACCAUUAAAUGAGCCAUGGUGGUUUGAUGAAUUAGCCGCACACACGUUAACCUGCUUUGUUCAUUUUGUAAACUGGCUAUUUCUAGAUAUAUAUAUUUUUUUAUACUGCGGUAUAUUUUUCCUCUUUUUUUUUUUUUGGGACAUAUUUUGUUGAAAAUAAUUAUGGCAUUAAAACAGGAGCCGUAAGUGUAAUAUACAGUUGCACUCUAAACCGUUUUGGUUUGCCAGAUAGUCAGUGUACUUUGUACCAUGGAUGUAAGUCGGUUUUUCAGGUUAGACGUUAAUUUAAGACAGCUAAUAUAAAAUAUGUAUAUAAAAAAUCAUGCCUUCUCAUUAGUUAAAUCUACACAACCUUGACGCAUGCAUUUUCAUAGAUGUCGCUAAAUCAAAUUGUGGUUUGACAGCUAUUUCUUUAACUAUAUACCUUAAACAACUAACCAGUUUUAUGUCUGAGAAUCCUUAUGUUUUUAUACAUUUAGAAAGUUCAGUGACUAAAAAAAACAUCUUCGGAAAUGCGACACUUUUAACAUUUUAUAUACUAACACUACUAUUUGAAUAGGAUAUAUAUAGCCUUUCAUUUCCGCUAUAUCUGAAUGUACCUUUCCUGGUUAAAUACUUUGUUAUUAUUAUUAUUAUUAUUAUAUGUGUGACAUUUUUUUAUUUUUCAGUGGGAAUUUAGGUAUCAUUUUGGUUUGUCAUGACAGAUUUAUAAAAUGUCACUCACUUUUGUGACAUAGACAGAUACAGUCAAAUUUAGCAACAAAGGACGUUUUGAUUUUCCACAGUGUUUCUGUUUCAUCAAAGCCCAGUGCAAUUCAGGUGGGCUGUUUGCUUAUAUUGUAUCAUAUUGGGCUCACUCUGUUAUAGGUUAUUUAAUGAGAGUUCCAUAUGUUCUCGAUAACCCGAGAGAGAAUUUUGUGGCAUGUGGGGCCCUGCUUGCAUGUUUGCCUCUGUCUGUCUUUGAUAAAAAUUUAUAAAUAUAAAAAUCAGUUUUUUUGUAACAAAAGGAGAGACUUAAAGCGGAUACAUAUCUCCACAUGACUUUUUAAAAGAUAAAGCUAAAAUAUUGGUAACAUUGUAUAAAAAGAGGCCUAUGAUUUGGGGAUUAAUAGCAUGCAAACCUAGGCUUGCCAUACGCUUUAAUGUAGGUGUCCAGAUCCGGCUGAAACUGGUUUGAGGCAGAUCAGCUCAUGUAACAAUGCAGCCACAGAGCUACAGUGGGAUAAAUCCUUCAUGGCAGACAGAGGAGGUAGCAGGAAGGUAUCAUCAUUUUAUUUCAGUAUGAAUUGCACUAUAGACACACAGCACUGGUAUGUAAAACCAGCAGAAAAAUAAAAACAAAACAUGCAUAUGUGUGCAUAUUUUGCAUUCAUGGGAAUGGGCUUGGUGGGUAUGUUAACAUGUCAGCUGUUUAUGAGCUGAGAUUUCAAAUAUACUGCCAUUGCAUUUGUCAUACAAGGGGUUAAUUAAGCAGAACAUUCUAAAAUCUAGAACAAAAAAAUGAGGGGGCAUCAGUAUUGGGGGCGGGGGGGGACUAUUGCAUGGUCUGUUGUUCUGUGCAUGCAUUGUACCUUCUAUGUGCGGUUUCCUUCGGUUAUAAUAAUAAAUAAGAAUAAUAAAACAUUGUGCUAAAAAGACUUGUAUCACCAGGCCACUCAAUUUAAAUCCACAGUGACAUGUCUGGGUGUGAUUUAACCCCUUCCACAGGAUAAGAUAAUGAAAGGUCAAAGUUCAAAGUAUUGUAGCAUUGAGUAGAAUUAUUUUUAACCACUAGACAGCAGCAAUCCUAUAUAAAAUAUAUAUUCUAUAUAUAUUUAAAUUCUAUUUAUCUACGCAUACAGACACGUAUAUCUGCCACCAUAACUAUUUUCAUUGGCUGUUGCGUGCCAGAUCUGCAUUCUAUAUUUGUUUGCAUGAACGAAAAGAAAAAAAAUAAUAAUCAAGAACUGAAAUAUAGUUGCUUGGAAAAUGCAAUCACUGUACACAAUGUCUCUUUUACUAAUGCUUUUCUGUACACAGUAAACAUCUUUCUGUGUACAGGAGAGUAAGUGUUUCAACUGUGACAGGUUACAGGUUUAAAAAAAAUAAUAAUAACAUAAUAAAAUAUACAGUGAUUUUUAAAUAUAGCCAGCAGUUUCUAAGGACAAAAAUGUGUUAUGAUGUAUAUCCCUACCCCUGUCUGUGAUAAACAGUAUUAUUUAAUGUUUUUAUAAUCGUAACAUUAUAUAUAUAUAUAUAUAUAUAUAUAUAUAUAUAUAUAUAUAUAUAUAUAUAUAUAUAUAUGUGCUGUAGCACAAAUUGUUUUUCUAUUUACAAUUUUCACAGUUAUGGAAAUUAGACAAAAUCUGUUUCUUACAAAAAAAAAAAAUCUAUGCUUUCAUUUGUAGCUGGCGUAUGCAUCUUGUUUUGUGAACUGGAGAGGCCUGGGAGAGAAGGGGAAUGAGCGUGGCAGAAGAGGGACACAGGAGGAAGGCAGCUGUAAUGAAAGGAUGAACAAAGACUGCUAGAGGAGAGAGAAUGGACUUCUAAACAAUCCGCCUUAUGAAAGCCAGGGAGACAUCUGUAACUUCCUAAAAACAGGAAAUCCAUAGCUCUGCAAUCCUGACCAGUUUGAUGCUUUACUGUACUGACGGGUCUUAGCCCUAAAGCUGGCUUUGUGUUAACUGCAAUGAAGGAAAAAAAAAUGGAGACUUUUAGUGAAAGUGUAUUCAGAUUUUCAUUAUGAAAGAUUGUCUAUGGUACUGUACAACGCAGCACAAUGCAGCCCAUAAAGCCCUGGAAAUUUUGAAUUGGGUAAGUUGUUUAAUCAGAGGAGAAGAAUUAUUAUUAUUAAUAUUUUUUUUUAUUUUUUUCACAAAAAGCAAGACAAUGCUUAGUUGAUUUAAUGUUUUCUUCUCUUAAAAUGACUACGUCUGGGAUUCAGCUUUUCAUACAUUUCCUUUGCAUUGUCAUUAGCAGGCUAGUAAACGUUCCAUAGAUUCCUCUGCUUUUCAAAGGCAAAUUCACAAUUUGCAUUGGCUUUUGAACCACUUAAUAAAGACAGCUAGAAGGUGAGCUGAAACAUGAGAUGUAUAACUGUGCUAUGCUUAUUUUUUAGUUUAAUGCAGUCUUCUUUGGGGGAAGGAGGGGGGGAUCUGGCAAUGUGACAUGGAAAUUGCAUGGGCAGUUUAAAUAGUUGUUUUUUUUGUUUUUUUUACAGUGACUAUUAAGAAUGUUGACAAGCAUAUUAAUCUGUUAUGAGUAUGCUGUUUUAUAUAGAUGUCCGCCUACACUCAGUAGUUUAAACCCUAAAAUUCAGGCCUUAAAAUGUAAAAUGUUGCAUUGCUAGAGGCUUAGUGCAAUACGUUAAUAUAAAUACGCUUGUGUCUGCUUUUCUCUCUAUUUUGUUCUUUUCUUCUUUCAUCCAUGCAUUGUGUUGUAGAGCUCUCUAUAAUUAAAGAAUAUUGAC